RNAcentral lists this ribosomal RNA (492 nucleotides) under uncultured bacterium. RNAcentral's name for it is "partial 16S ribosomal RNA". It matches the Rfam family "Bacterial small subunit ribosomal RNA", at positions 29 to 507 of the family's 1533-position model. The record is from RNAcentral.
AGUGAACGCUGGCGGUAGGCCUAACGCAUGCAAGUCGAACGGCAGCACAGUAAGAGCUUGCUCUUACGGGUGGCGAGUGGCGGACGGGUGAGGAAUACAUCGGAAUCUACUUUUUCGUGGGGGAUAACGUAGGGAAACUUACGCUAAUACCGCAUACGACCUACGGGUGAAAGCAGGGGAUCUUCGGACCUUGCGCGAUUGAAUGAGCCGAUGUCGGAUUAGCUAGUUGGCGGGGUAAAGGCCCACCAAGGCGACGAUCCGUAGCUGGUCUGAGAGGAUGAGCAGCCACACUGGAACUGAGACACGGUCCAGACUCCUACGGGAGGCAGCAGUGGGGAAUAUUGGACAAAGGGCGCAAGCCUGAUCCAGCCAUACCGCGUGGGUGAAGAAGGCCUUCGGGUUGUAAAGCCCUUUUGUUGGGAAAGAAAAGCAGCAGGUUAAUACCCCGCUGUUCUGACGGUACCCAAAGAAUAAGCACCGGCUAACUUCGUG